RNAcentral lists this non-coding RNA (27 nucleotides) under Mus musculus (house mouse). The record is from RNAcentral. Lineage: Eukaryota; Metazoa; Chordata; Mammalia; Rodentia; Muridae.
UAGAAGGUUUUUGUGAUUGAACAAAGG